Poecilia latipinna (sailfin molly) is the source of this 668-nucleotide long non-coding RNA. RefSeq lists it as uncharacterized. The record is from RefSeq and is a predicted model, not a curated record. NCBI's taxonomy places the organism in Eukaryota, Metazoa, Chordata, Actinopteri, Cyprinodontiformes, Poeciliidae. The transcript has 6 exons.
AGCAGGGCUUUUGGAGGCCAGUGUAGAGGCGCUGCUGCAUCCUUCCCUCACUCUUUAUGUUGACUCCUGUGUUGCUACACUGAAGUCAAAUCUUCUCUCACAGCCGAGAUACAAGUUUAUCUCCAACCAUGGGUCAAUGAUGGACAGUUUACUGCCAGACUCUUCCUCCACAUUCCCGCCUCAGGAUCCAGCUAACAGACUUUGUUUCAGCUUCAAAAUGUUUACUUUCAACCAAACAUCUCCAGAGGAGAUGUUCAUAAGCUGCCAUCUUGGAGCCACUUUGAAACAAAAGUCUCCAAGCCGUCAUAAUAAAGCCUCUUUCUUCCACAAACUCACAUUGAGAUGGCGGUCCAUAGAGGGAGACAUCGCUCUGUGUGAAUGCUGCAACACUGACUGCUCAGGACUGACUGGAGUGAAGAACCACGGCCGUCCAGAGACGGAUGAGACGUUUGAGGCCCACAGGACAGCUGGACCUCUUCAUGUUGUGCAUCAAUCCUACUGGACCAGAGAGCCAUCAGUCAGUUGAAAAGACUCUACUCCAGGUCCAGAGUUUGGUUUUGAACAAACCACCCAGUAUAAAAUACUCACCAGUGUGGAGAUUGUGGUCCUUGAUGAAGAUGUUCUGUGUCGGGUUUCUGGACCCAGGCUGCUUGCUGCAUGUCUUCCCC